GUCUAUGGCCAUGCCACCCUGAACAGGCCCAAUCCCAUCUGAUCUCGGAAGCUAAGCAGGGUCGGGCCUGGUUAGUACUUGGAUGGGAGACCACCUAGGAAGACUAGGUGCUGUAGGCG
Molecule: ribosomal RNA, 119 nt
Filed under: Pteropus alecto (black flying fox)
Lineage: Eukaryota; Metazoa; Chordata; Mammalia; Chiroptera; Pteropodidae
Source: RNAcentral